Molecule: transfer RNA, 82 nt
Filed under: Candidatus Shapirobacteria bacterium
Lineage: Bacteria; Candidatus Shapironibacteriota
Description: tRNA-Leu
Rfam family: tRNA
About the family: Transfer RNA (tRNA) molecules are approximately 80 nucleotides in length. Their secondary structure includes four short double-helical elements and three loops (D, anti-codon, and T loops).
Source: RNAcentral
GCCGCUGUGGUGAAAUUGGUAUACACGUACGCUUGAGGUGCGUAUGCCGCAAGGUGUGGAGGUUCAAGUCCUCUCAGCGGCA